RNAcentral lists this ribosomal RNA (403 nucleotides) under bacterium. RNAcentral describes it as "partial 16S ribosomal RNA". It matches the Rfam family "Bacterial small subunit ribosomal RNA", at positions 355 to 776 of the family's 1533-position model. The record is from RNAcentral.
UGGGGAAUCUUGCACAAUGGGGGAAACCCUGAUGCAGCGACGCCGCGUGAGCGAUGAAGGUUUUCGAAUCGUAAAGCUCUGUCCUAUGGGAAGAUAAUGACGGUACCAUAGGAGGAAGCCCCGGCUAACUACGUGCCAGCAGCCGCGGUAAUACGUAGGGGGCGAGCGUUGUCCGGAAUUACUGGGCGUAAAGGGUUCGCAGGCGGCAUGACAAGUCCGAUGUAAAAGGCGAAAGCUCAACUUUCGUAAGCAUCGGAAACUGUCAAGCUUGAGUGAAGGAGAGGCAAGUGGAAUUCCUAGUGUAGCUGUGGAAUGCGUAGAUAUUAGGAGGAAUACCGGUGGCGAAGGCGACUUGCUGGACGUCAACUGACGCUGAGGAACGAAAGCGUGGGUAGCAAACAGG